This 750-nucleotide long non-coding RNA is filed under the name Felis catus (domestic cat). RNAcentral describes it as "lncRNA (ENSFCAG00000042084.2)". The record is from RNAcentral. Lineage: Eukaryota; Metazoa; Chordata; Mammalia; Carnivora; Felidae.
GUUGGUGUUGUGCUAUCAGCGCCUCCACAUUUUCCCUGCAGGGAUUCCUUCUGACAGGCUGAGGCUGGAGGCAUGUCUCAGGAUUAACGACACUACGUGGAUACUUCUUCCAUCUGGGAUCCAGAUAAAAUCUGAAUGAAAGUAACAGGACACCAGAAGUGUUGCAGGAUUUUUUUAUCGUAAUGCCUGGGAUUUGUUGUCUCGCAGCUUCGAAGAAUAAAGAGGGCUCAAAACCUUUACACAAAAGCCAGCCAAAUGUUCCUAAUUCUAGGGAACAUGUUAUUUUAGCCUUCAUGAUGAUGACUCAACCCUGUGCCUCACUGCUAUGUAAGAUUCCAACAGAGAUGACAUUUUGCAAUCCAGAGAAGCAACAUGUCCCCUGUCUGGAGGUGAACUGAGAAAUAGUUCACUUCAAAUGGGCCUCUAAACAGCUGUCAGGUCAGAAUAACUGUAAGUCAUUACCUAUCUGAGCCAUGUUGAACCAGUGACUUUUAAGUGGUGAAAAUCUCUGUAUCAUAUUACUAAUCUCACUGGCCAACGGUGACUGUGUCAACAACCAACAUUCCCUCUUAGUAAGCAGGCAAAAAUAAUACAUGGCCCAUGAUUUGGAAGGUAAAGGAGCAGUUGAGAGGUUGAAAAGUUCAGGAAGUGAGGAAGUUGAAAAUACACCUCCUCAGAGCUUUGCCUCCAGAAUGAUUCACGACAACCUGUAAGUCGCAAAUGUGCCACAAAAGGAUUCACUCCAACUUC